AACGAACGCUGGCGGCAUGCCUAACACAUGCAAGUCGAACGAGACCUUCGGGUCUAGUGGCGCACGGGUGCGUAACGCGUGGGAACCUGCCCUUAGGUUCGGAAUAACUCCCCGAAAGGGGUGCUAAUACCGGAUAAUGUCUUCGGACCAAAGAUUUAUCGCCUUUGGAUGGGCCCGCGUUGGAUUAGCUAGUUGGUAGGGUAAAAGCCUACCAAGGCGACGAUCCAUAGCUGGUCUGAUAGGAUGAUCAGCCACACUGGGACUGAGACACGGCCCAGACUCCUACGGGAGGCAGCAGUGGGGAAUAUUGGACAAGGGGCGAAAGCCUGAUACAGCAAUGCCGCGUGAGUGAUGAAGGCCUUAGGGUUGUAAAGCUCUUUUACACGGGAUGAUAAUGACAGUACCGGGAGAAUAAGCACCGGCUAACUACGUG
Molecule: ribosomal RNA, 433 nt
Filed under: uncultured bacterium
Lineage: Bacteria
Description: partial 16S ribosomal RNA
Rfam family: Bacterial small subunit ribosomal RNA
Source: RNAcentral